GCCUUGGUGGUGUGAUUGAAAGCACGUCCGACUAACAAUCGGGAGGUACAGAGUUCGAAUCCCGGCGAAGUCA
RNAcentral lists this transfer RNA (73 nucleotides) under Stegodyphus mimosarum. It matches the Rfam family "tRNA". From Rfam's summary of the family: Transfer RNA (tRNA) molecules are approximately 80 nucleotides in length. Their secondary structure includes four short double-helical elements and three loops (D, anti-codon, and T loops). Further hydrogen bonds mediate the characteristic L-shaped molecular structure. tRNAs have two regions of fundamental functional importance: the anti-codon, which is responsible for specific mRNA codon recognition, and the 3' end, to which the tRNAs corresponding amino acid is attached (by aminoacyl-tRNA synthetases). tRNAs cope with the degeneracy of the genetic code in two manners: having more than one tRNA (with a specific anti-codon) for a particular amino acid; and 'wobble' base-pairing, i.e. permitting non-standard base-pairing at the 3rd anti-codon position. Lineage: Eukaryota; Metazoa; Arthropoda; Arachnida; Araneae; Eresidae. The record is from Rfam by way of RNAcentral.